UACGUAGAAGACUAGUGUUAUUCAUCUUUAAUAGGUUUAAAGGGUACCUAGACGGUAUAAUUAGUCUUUAACGGGAAACGGUUAUACUAGAGUUAUAUAUGAGGAGGUGAGUAUUUGUGGAGUAGAGUUGAAAUUCUUUGAUACCAUGAAGACUGGUAAAGGCGAAAGCAACCUUUUAUCUAAUAACUGACGUUGAGGGACGAAGGCUCGGGUCGCGAACAGG
Molecule: ribosomal RNA, 223 nt
Filed under: uncultured bacterium
Lineage: Bacteria
Description: partial 16S ribosomal RNA
Rfam family: Bacterial small subunit ribosomal RNA
Source: RNAcentral